CCUGGCUCAGGAUGAACGCUAGCGGCAGGCUUAACACAUGCAAGUCGAGGGCAUCGGGAGUAGCAAUACUUGCCGGCGACCGGCGCAAGGGUGCGUAACGCGUGAGCAACAUGCCCGUAUCAGGGGGAUAAUCCAUGGAAACGUGGUCUAAUACCCCAUAGUAAUUAUGUAAGGCAUCUUAUAUAAUUUAAAGCUUUGGUGGAUACGGAUUGGCUCGCGUGACAUUAGCUAGAUGGUAAGGUAACGGCUUACCAUGGCUACGAUGUCUAGGGGUUCUGAGAGGAAGGUCCCCCCACACUGGAACUGAGACACGGUCCAGACUCCUACGGGAGGCAGCAGUGAGGAAUAUUGGACAAUGGAUGGAAAUCUGAUCCAGCCAUGCCGCGUGCAGGAAAGACGGCCCUAUGGGUUGUAAACUGCUUUUGUAUGGGAGCAAUAAGGGCUACGCGUAGUCCGAUGAGAGUACCAUACGAAUAAGCAUCGGCUAACUCCGUGCCAGCCGCCGC
This 506-nucleotide ribosomal RNA is filed under the name uncultured bacterium. RNAcentral describes it as "bacterial SSU rRNA". It matches the Rfam family "Bacterial small subunit ribosomal RNA", at positions 18 to 518 of the family's 1533-position model. The record is from RNAcentral.